UACCAGCACCCCGAGUGGUCGGGACGUUUAUUGGGCCUAAAGCAUCCGUAGCCGGUUCUACAAGUCUUCCGUUAAAUCCACCUGCUUAACAGAUGGGCUGCGGAGGAUACUAUGGAGCUAGGAGGCGGGAGAGGCAAGCGGUACUCGAUGGGUAGGGGUAAAAUCCGUUGAUCCAUUGAAGACCACCAGUGGCGAAGGCGGCUUGCCAGAACGCGCUCGACGGUGAGGGAUGAAAGCUGGGGGAGCAAACCGG
This 253-nucleotide ribosomal RNA is filed under the name uncultured bacterium. RNAcentral's name for it is "partial 16S ribosomal RNA". It matches the Rfam family "Archaeal small subunit ribosomal RNA", at positions 474 to 727 of the family's 1478-position model. The record is from RNAcentral.